CUUACAGAAGUAGCUGCUGGGCAGUUGCAAUUUUAGAACAGAGUUCCUUUAUAUACGAAUGCUUUUUUUUUUUAAUGCUUGUUCUAAAGUGGAUCUGAUCUCGUGAGGUAAGGGAGAGACUUGCUUCUGAAGCAGAAAGGGUAGCAAACAGGUAGAUAAGAAAUUAAUGCAGAAGCACACAAUUACAAACUUGCACAACUCCAGCAAGCACGUUCACAAGAGCAUUAUGCUGACAUCAUAAAAACAUUGGCAGAAGGCACGGUUUGGUCUGAGAGGAAACACAAGUCAGCUCAAAUGGAAGCAGGGCCUUGGACUGCCAACAGAUGCCCUGCUGCCAAAUGGAGCUUGGAGGAGAAUUAAAGCUUGGUUCUUGGUGGUUUGUAACCACAGAAGAUCUGACAACGGCUUCUGACAGAGUGCUGCUCUAACCCCGGUGUCCUGGCUGCUUUCCAGCUGCUAGAAGUGCCUCAGCAACUCUUGAAUGCAACUGUAUGAGCAACACGACUACUGCAUGCUCAGCGCAGGCAGAAGAAGACUUCUGCUUCACAAUAGUUAAACAAGUCAAGGACGUAAUUCACAUCCUUUUAAGGUUGGAAGUGAAAAACAGACUACAGAAUGACAGGAGAAAGGAAAAUGCUGGUUUUCAUGGCUUCAUCACUGUUGAACAGAGCAGCCUUAGGUUGGGUCAUUUCUUUGUGCCGGAGGACUUUUCAAAGGAUGCUGAAGCUUUCAUACUACACGGCUUACAGUGCAGAUGGAACAGGACGUGUCGUUAUGUUUACUGUGUGUGGCUGUCAGUGCUUAGCAGUAAGGUGUGCUUGGUUAUUAGCAAUGUCUGGUUCCUGUAUCACGAACCCUACGCCUGCAGCUUUUCUCCUGCCUUUGCCUCUCAGCUGUGAAUUACUGCACUGGUGUGUCUGUGCUCAGGACUACCCAGAAGGAAGCACACAAGGCCCAUUUCUGGACUUCAUGAGCUACAAUGUUCGGUGCUGCACAGGUGAGCAUGGUGUGGACAGCAGCACAUGGAUGGGCAGGUCAGGGAAGUACCACAGGGAAGAGCACAGCAAUGCCUUCGAUUCCCCCAGGCUCUUCUCAUAACAUCCUAUGCAAAAUGUCUGCAACAUGGGGAUGUUGAGCAUAGCAAAAGCACAAGCACUAGCACUGCCAGUGGAAACACUUAUCUGGAAAGAAUGUUCUUCAUUGCACCAUUGGGGAAAUUAAAUCAAAUUAAGCCGUUUCAUUUGUUGGGGUAGGAGAUUAUUCCUCAUUGUGCCAGCAAAUUCUUUACUUGCCUCCAUAAGGAAUUCAUCCAAAGUCUGAAUUUUGAAUGGCUCCAAAAUAAAACUAAUUUAAGCAGUGUCAAACGCUUACUGUCAUUCCUUCCUUAUCACUCGGAAGUGAAUCCCUUCAUUUUUCUCUCUCAUAACUUAUGAACUGCAGCACUUAUAUCUAAAUUUAGGGGGGAUGCUGUUUUGUUAUAGUGUGGACUUUACCUUGUAUAUUAACAUCUGCUUCAAAGAGAAUGUACGCACAAGCUCAGGAGAACCAACUGAUAUUUCUUUCAGCCUGAUGGUAGUCCAGGUGGAAGACGUUGCCUCUGGUAGGCUGUAUGUGGUGUGGAAGCAAAGAGCAUGGUAGUCUGGGUAGGCUGGGGGAGCAUUUGGGUCUAUUAGAGCAGAGCUGGUGUUUGUUGUGCAGUGCGCUCCAGAGUGCUUAAUGCAUGGGUCCAUCUUAACACUGAGCUAAGAGGGGGUAGUGUCUGCUAAAUAUAAGGCAGGUUUGAUGAAGUAGAUCCUUUAUUUUGGCAGUAGGCAAAGUAGUGCCAAUGGAAACGGUGCAAACCUGGCCGCAAUGUGUCUGCCCCGGCAGUCACAAGGAAGGGUAGGUAUGCCAGGCAGCACCUGAGUGUGUUCCACAGCCAGCACCGGUCUGCCAAACCCAAGGUAGCAACAGCAGUGAUGCACAGGAGGAAGGAAGUGAUGGUUUAUCACAUUACACAGACCAGCCUGCACACAGCAUGGGGCACAGGGAUGCCCACAUGCCUGUUUGGAAGCUGCCUCCUCCAGAGCAGAGCAGGAGGGCUGGAGGGGAGGCACUGCAGGAGAGUGGCU
Molecule: long non-coding RNA, 2111 nt
Organism: Gallus gallus (chicken)
Lineage: Eukaryota; Metazoa; Chordata; Aves; Galliformes; Phasianidae
Source: Ensembl